GGGGACGCUUCUAAUUGACUGAAUCUGCCCGUAAUAAUUGCCAACCAAGUUGGUAGCCUUGCCAAAACUACCACACAAAUAAGUGUCAAAAAUCUAAUGAGCUCCGCCAAAAGGGCCGUCGGCAAUUUCGUUGCCGCCUUGACCCCGGCUUAUGCUCACGCCGUAGUUUAAAUCCUACUGCCAUCUCCCCCGAAAACCUGUGACGGGAUCGGAGGUGCUAUAUAUUCGGGUUUAGAUUGAUACUGGCGCCCGGCCAUUCUCAAUUGAAACAUUUCCGGGCUAUGAGUAGAAAAUUUUUGCCGGUUUUUAUCUUCUACCCCAGACCCAAACACGGCUAAGUUAGUAUCCAAUUAUUAUCGGCUUUUCAAGACGCGGGCGCACUACCCGCCGUCUCCACCA
RNAcentral lists this transfer-messenger RNA (399 nucleotides) under Candidatus Kuenenbacteria bacterium. It matches the Rfam family "transfer-messenger RNA". Rfam says of the family: Bacterial tmRNA, also known as 10Sa RNA or SsrA, is named for its dual tRNA and mRNA-like properties. The record is from RNAcentral. Lineage: Bacteria; Candidatus Kueneniibacteriota.